Molecule: ribosomal RNA, 373 nt
Filed under: uncultured bacterium
Lineage: Bacteria
Description: bacterial SSU rRNA
Rfam family: Bacterial small subunit ribosomal RNA
Source: RNAcentral
ACGGGGGGGGUAAGCGUUGUUCGGAAUUACUGGGCGUAAAGGGCUCGUAGGCGGCCAACUAAGUCAUACGUGAAAUCCCUCAGCUUAACUGGGGAACUGCGUGUGAUACUGGAUGGCUUGGAUUUGGGAGAGGGAUGCGGAAUUCCAGGUGUAGCGGUGAAAUGCGUAGAUAUCUGGAGGAACACCGGUGGCGAAGGCGGCAUCCUGGACCAAUAUUGACGCUGAGGAGCGAAAGCUAGGGGAGCAAACGGGAUUAGAUACCCCGGUAGUCCUAGCCCUAAACGAUGAAUGCUUGGUGUGGCGGGUAUCGAUCCCUGCCGUGCCGAAGCUAACGCAUUAAGCAUUCCGCCUGGGGAGUACGGUCGCAAGGCUG